GACGAACGCUGGCGGCGUGCUUAACACAUGCAAGUCGAACGGAAAGGCCCUGGUUUGGUGGUGUGCUCGAGUGGCGAACGGGUGAGUAACACGUGAGUAACCUGCCCGGGACUUGGGGAUAACUUCAGGAAACUAUGGCUAAUACCGGAUAGGAGUUCCUGCUGCAUGGUGUGGGUUGGAAAGGUUCGGUGGCUUGGGAUGGACUCGCGGCUUAUCAGCUUCUUGGUGGGGUAGUGGCUUACCAAGGCUUUGACGGGUAGCCGGCCUGAGAGGGUGACCGGCCCCAUUGGGCCUGAGAUAGGGCCCAGACUGCUACGGGAGGCAGCAGUGGGGAAUAGUGCACACAGGGCGGAAGCCUGAAACAGCAACGCCGCGUGCGGGAUGACGGCCUUCGGGUUGUAACCCGCUUUAGACUGUGACGAAGCGUGAGUGACGGUAAUGUAUAAAGAAGCAACGGCUAACUACGUG
RNAcentral lists this ribosomal RNA (468 nucleotides) under uncultured bacterium. RNAcentral's name for it is "partial 16S ribosomal RNA". It matches the Rfam family "Bacterial small subunit ribosomal RNA", at positions 28 to 507 of the family's 1533-position model. The record is from RNAcentral.